Molecule: long non-coding RNA, 451 nt
Organism: Macadamia integrifolia
Lineage: Eukaryota; Viridiplantae; Streptophyta; Magnoliopsida; Proteales; Proteaceae
Exons: 3
Source: RefSeq, a predicted model, not a curated record
CGACAUUAAUUGAACAGACCAUGCACUGCUACGUGGCUCAAAACCUGCUCAUGAAGUAAUGCUAGAACCCCCAUUCAAUAAACGAUUUCCUUUUUUUGUUUCACCCUCUGUUUUAUUCCGCUCCAGAGCACGUCUUCUUCCCGUUUCCGUCAUUACUCCAAACCAUCCGUAUAAUAGUAAUUCCUGAUCUCUCUCUCUACCUUUUCUUUGUGCUAAAGAGAUCAUUUAUAAAUUUGAGUCCCUCUUCUGAAAUUCUGUCGACGAGGCUUUGAACGAUCGAGGUUUGCAGAAUCCGUUGCUACGAGGGUCGCAUAAAUAGCUGUUGAAUAAGUAUUUGUUUGUCUUUAAUCGCUUGGACCUCCACCUCAUACACUGGGAACAGGUCUGGUGACCAGCGCAACACAGGCUGAAGGAAUUGGUGUUUGAUCCAAUUGACUCUUUGCGGCGUGAA